Molecule: small nuclear RNA, 20 nt
Filed under: Arabidopsis thaliana (thale cress)
Lineage: Eukaryota; Viridiplantae; Streptophyta; Magnoliopsida; Brassicales; Brassicaceae
Description: snRNA_15791
Source: RNAcentral
GCGGGUCGAUCCGGGCGGAG